UACAGAGGGUGCGAGCGUUAAUCGGAAUUACUGGGCGUAAAGGGCGCGUAGGCGGCCUGCUAAGUCGAACGUGAAAUCCCUGGGCUCAACCCAGGAACUGCGUCCGAUACUGGUUGGCUUGAAUCCGGGAGAGGGAUGUGGAAUUCCAGGUGUAGCGGUGAAAUGCGUAGAUAUCUGGAGGAACACCGGUGGCGAAGGCGACAUCCUGGACCGGCAUUGACGCUGAGGCGCGAAAGCCAGGGGAGCAAACGGG
Molecule: ribosomal RNA, 253 nt
Filed under: uncultured bacterium
Lineage: Bacteria
Description: partial 16S ribosomal RNA
Rfam family: Bacterial small subunit ribosomal RNA
Source: RNAcentral